This is a long non-coding RNA of Hibiscus syriacus, 1062 nucleotides long. RefSeq lists it as uncharacterized. The transcript is spliced from 5 exons. NCBI's taxonomy places the organism in Eukaryota, Viridiplantae, Streptophyta, Magnoliopsida, Malvales, Malvaceae. The record is from RefSeq and is a predicted model, not a curated record.
GUGGCAAACAAAAUCUGGCUUUUCCUUUCUUUCUGAAGCUUCGUGGAGAACGCAAUGGCAACCCAGGAAUUCCAGAGCAGAUUUAUACCCAUCGAAAUCAGCAGCAUUCUCUUCGCGUUCCCCCCCCCCAUGUGGGCUUCUCUUCUACACCAGAAAAAACGCUUCUCUAAUGUCAUAGAAGAGUGUUUCCUUCCGCUCUCGUCGUCACCUUCCUUGUUUCUCAGAAUUCAUUUCCAUCUACUGGGAUUUCCAUUUCUCCCAUUUUCGAUUCUUCAUUCGCAAAUCUUUUGAUUUUCAAUGGCUUCUUCGAGUUCUCAUCUCAUCGCUGACGGAUGAAUCGCCAAUGGUCAGAGAAGCCUCCAUGGCUUCUCUUAAGGACAUUUCUCCUCUGAAUCCUCUCCUUGUCCUUGACUGUUGUUCUGCUAUUUCUAGAGGUGGCCGUCGGAUAAAAAGGACAUUGAUGCCGCUUAUAUUGUCAAGCUCGCCAAAAUUGCCACUGCCGAGAUUAUCUCUUCUAAGAUACAUAUCUUGCACAGCCUUUUCAACGACUUCUGCAUUAACAGAUUGGAGUAGUGUAUUUUUUCUGUUAUAUAUACAUCUGUCCCUACUAUUGUUGUUGGCAUUCUUGACAAUGACUUGAGUCAUAAAACACUCCUAAGUGACAUGAUGCGUAUAAUCUGCAACUCUUUUGGAUCACAAUGAUUUACACACUAUGGCAGAGCCUUGUUCUAUUCUAUAUACCUUUUUUCACAUAUAAGGAGAGCUCAAUUGAUAUAUGGAGCAUGGGCAGUUUGUGGACUAUAGCAGUUGUUAUUCUUGUUAAUAUACACUUGGCGAUGGACAUUCAGCGUUGGGUAUUCAUUACUCAUGCUGCAGUGUGGGGAUCAAUAAUUAUCACAUGUGCUUGUAUGGUGGUAUUGGAUUCUAUACCUAUCUUCCCAGAUUACUGGGCAAUCUACCAUGUGGCAAAGUCACCCACCUAUUGGCUCACCAUUUUGCUUAUAAUAAUUGUGGCUUUACUUCCUCGCUUUCUUCUCAAAGUUAUACAUCAGAAUUUUUGGC